GUUCAAGCACUGAGUACAUUAGUCAUUGCCUGUCAGUAAAAGGCAAAACGAACAAUAUUAAGAUUUGAGAAGUAUGAAAAGUGCUUUAAAAGUGCAUCAUUUGGGGAUCGGAAAGGUUGAGCCUCCAGGUGACCAAUUUCACAGCAGUGUAACAUAUGAAUGGGCACAGAUCAAACCCAGCUGGCAGUGUCUGUACAGUAAUUACCACCGCGUGGCACACAUCUGUACUUGAGUAAUUCAGUCUGCAGGCCAGAGAUCAACCUAAGAGCAGUGGGGUGAGACACAUAGGCAGGACAAUGUGUGCUGCCUUCCCUAUGAUGCUUUUUUUUUUUUCCUAAGCUUAAAAACACAGAAAAUUUACCAGGGAAAAAAAGCUCUGAGAUAGAUAUCUCUCUUCCUUCCACUUUAGCUAAGUAUAUUAAGUUCAAUGUCCAGUAUGUAAAAAUCCAUAAACAGGGGCAUUUCUACUAAUGCUUGCUCUUUUGUUUCGUCUUAUGAGCUUUUUACUGUUUUAAAGAGAUACCAUCCAUUCAUAUUUAAAAAAAAAAAAAACAACACAAUUUAUAAGCUCUGCAUUUGGGUAAAUCAUCCCUUAAAAGGAAAGUGUCUGUGUUAAGAAGUUGAUUGCAAAAUUUUUUUCUACUCUACCAUCUUUUUUAAAAAAUGUAGCAGUUUUCUGUGAUGGCUUUAACUAGAUAACAGGAAUUUUUCACUCUCAGCUUUGAUGGACUCCUUUCUAGGAAGGCAGAUUGCAACCAGUACAUAUUUUAGUGAAACUGCAUCAUAGAAUUUUCCAUAGCAACAUGCCGUGACGUUGCUGCUGUUGAAUUAUGGUCACUAUGCCUCACAGACAAAAUGAAACAACAAAUGAGGGUGCGUUCUGUUCUGUUGGUUACCAAGACAAACGCAGUACAGAAGAAUCCCUCAAAGCAUCCCCUGUUUGGAUGAAAGCCCAGGAACACAAGAACUCAUCUUCAAGAGCACUAUCAGACCGUAGACUCUACGCUACUUAAAAGGUAAGUCAUAAUUCCCACCAAGAGAUAUCUUCCAAAGACCUCAUUCUGUAUGGCCAAGGGAAAAAAACAUCAACAUUUCCACCCCUGCAUACUGGCUGGAAUACAUAAGGAGACAUUAAGGUAUCACAGUCCCUGGAGGUGUUCAAGAAAUAUUUAGACAUUAUACUGAGGGACUCAGUGGGAAAUAUCAGUGGUAAGUGGAUGAUUGACUGGAUGAUCUUAGAGGUCUUUUCCAACUUGGUGAUUCUGUGAUUCUAUCACUAUUUAAGUGCUCUGCAUUACUCAGGGCAUAUUAAAU
Molecule: long non-coding RNA, 1314 nt
Filed under: Meleagris gallopavo (turkey)
Lineage: Eukaryota; Metazoa; Chordata; Aves; Galliformes; Phasianidae
Description: lncRNA (ENSMGAG00000018594.1)
Source: RNAcentral